RNAcentral lists this ribosomal RNA (471 nucleotides) under uncultured bacterium. RNAcentral describes it as "bacterial SSU rRNA". It matches the Rfam family "Bacterial small subunit ribosomal RNA", at positions 10 to 507 of the family's 1533-position model. The record is from RNAcentral.
AGUUUGAUCCUGGCUCAGAACGAACGCUGGCGGCAUGCCUAACACAUGCAAGUCGAACGAGACCUUCGGGUCUAGUGGCGCACGGGUGCGUAACGCGUGGGAACCUGCCUUUAGGUUCGGAAUAACUCAGAGAAAUUUGAGCUAAUACCGGAUAAUGUCUUCGGACCAAAGAUUUAUCGCCUUUAGAUGGGCCCGCGUUGGAUUAGCUAGUUGGUGGGGUAAAGGCCUACCAAGGCGACGAUCCAUAGCUGGUCUGAGAGGAUGAUCAGCCACACUGGGACUGAGACACGGCCCAGACUCCUACGGGAGGCAGCAGUGGGGAAUAUUGGACAAUGGACGCAAGUCUGAUCCAGCCAUGCCGCGUGAAGGAUUAAGGCCCUCUGGGUUGUAAACUUCUUUUAUAGGGGACGAAAAAAGGGCUUUCUAGCUCGUCUGACGGUACCCUAUGAAUAAGCACCGGCUAACUCCGUG